This 433-nucleotide ribosomal RNA is filed under the name uncultured bacterium. RNAcentral's name for it is "partial 16S ribosomal RNA". It matches the Rfam family "Bacterial small subunit ribosomal RNA", at positions 29 to 507 of the family's 1533-position model. The record is from RNAcentral.
AGCGAACGCUGGCGGCAGGCCUAACACAUGCAAGUCGAACGAACUCUUCGGAGUUAGUGGCGGACGGGUGAGUAACACGUGGGAACGUGCCUUUUGGUUCGGAAUAACUCAGGGAAACUUGUGCUAAUACCGAAUGUGCCCUUCGGGGGAAAGAUUUAUCGCCAUUAGAGCGGCCCGCGUCUGAUUAGCUAGUUGGUGAGGUAACGGCUCACCAAGGCGACGAUCAGUAGCUGGUCUGAGAGGAUGACCAGCCACACUGGGACUGAGACACGGCCCAGGCUCCUACGGGAGGCAGCAGUGGGGAAUCUUGCGCAAUGGGCGAAAGCCUGACGCAGCCAUGCCGCGUGAAUGAUGAAGUUCUUAGGAUUGUAAAAUUCUUUCACCGGGGACGAUAAUGACGGUACCCGGAGAAGAAGCCCCGGCUAACUUCGUG